ACUCCUACGGGAGGCAGCAGUGGGGAAUAUUGCACAAUGGGCGCAAGCCUGAUGCAGCCAUGCCGCGUGUGUGAAGAAGGCCUUCGGGUUGUAAAGCACUUUCAGUCGUGAGGAAGGUAGUGUAGUUAAUAGCUGCAUUAUUUGACGUUAGCGACAGAAGAAGCACCGGCUAACUCCGUGCCAGCAGCCGCGGUAAUACGGAGGGUGCGAGCGUUAAUCGGAAUUACUGGGCGUAAAGCGCAUGCAGGUGGUUUGUUAAGUCAGAUGUGAAAGCCCGGGGCUCAACCUCGGAAUAGCAUUUGAAACUGGCAGACUAGAGUACUGUAGAGGGGGGUAGAAUUUCAGGUGUAGCGGUGAAAUGCGUAGAGAUCUGAAGGAAUACCGGUGGCGAAGGCGGCCCCCUGGACAGAUACUGACACUCAGAUGCGAAAGCGUGGGGAGCAAACAGGAUUAGAUACCCGU
This 462-nucleotide ribosomal RNA is filed under the name uncultured bacterium. RNAcentral's name for it is "bacterial SSU rRNA". It matches the Rfam family "Bacterial small subunit ribosomal RNA", at positions 335 to 789 of the family's 1533-position model. The record is from RNAcentral.